CCUUGACUGAAUCCCUCUACACAAACAAAACGUUUUAAAGAUGUCAUAGUUUAGCACAUGUGUGCAAUAUCUCAUAGUUUAGCA
This is a long non-coding RNA of Ipomoea nil (Japanese morning glory), 84 nucleotides long. RefSeq lists it as uncharacterized. The record is from RefSeq and is a predicted model, not a curated record. The transcript is spliced from 3 exons. NCBI's taxonomy places the organism in Eukaryota, Viridiplantae, Streptophyta, Magnoliopsida, Solanales, Convolvulaceae.